GACGAACGCUGGCGGCGUGCUUAACACAUGCAAGUCGAACGGUGAACUCCGCUUGCGGGGGGAUCAGUGGCGAACGGGUGAGUAACACGUGGGCAACCUGCCCUCAGCUCUGGGAUAACUCCAAGAAAUUGGGGCUAAUACCGGAUAUGACCGCUGACCGCAUGGUCUGGUGAUGGAAAGAUUUAUCGGCUGGGGAUGGGCCCGCGGCCUAUCAGCUUGUUGGUGGGGUAGUGGCCUACCAAGGCGACGACGGGUAGCCGGCCUGAGAGGGUGACCGGCCACACUGGGACUGAGACACGGCCCAGACUCCUACGGGAGGCAGCAGUGGGGAAUAUUGCGCAAUGGGCGAAAGCCUGACGCAGCGACGCCGCGUGGGGGAUGACGGCCUUCGGGUUGUAAACCUCUUUCAGCAGGGACGAAGCGAAAGUGACGGUACCUGCAGAAGAAGCACCGGCCAACUACGUG
RNAcentral lists this ribosomal RNA (465 nucleotides) under uncultured bacterium. RNAcentral describes it as "partial 16S ribosomal RNA". It matches the Rfam family "Bacterial small subunit ribosomal RNA", at positions 28 to 507 of the family's 1533-position model. The record is from RNAcentral.